AUGUUCUGGAACCUAAAGGACGAGCCCUUGCCCCCCUUGCCGGCCGCGAUCUCCGGCCCGUCGCCAUCGAUCUCCUCGUCGUCGCCUUCGGACGACAGCAUGAGCAGCGGCGGCGCCGGCGGCGGGGGCAGGGCGAGGGCGCUCUCGUCCCACGUGAGGAAGUGCAGCGUGAUGGGGCGGAGCGCGUGGCGGUGGAGCGAAAGCUUCUGGCUCAGCGACACGGUGUCGUAG
RNAcentral lists this ribosomal RNA (231 nucleotides) under Triticum aestivum (bread wheat). Its description in RNAcentral is "partial small subunit ribosomal RNA". Lineage: Eukaryota; Viridiplantae; Streptophyta; Magnoliopsida; Poales; Poaceae. The record is from RNAcentral.